This is a long non-coding RNA of Canis lupus familiaris (dog), 1455 nucleotides long. RefSeq lists it as uncharacterized. NCBI's taxonomy places the organism in Eukaryota, Metazoa, Chordata, Mammalia, Carnivora, Canidae. The record is from RefSeq and is a predicted model, not a curated record. The transcript is spliced from 2 exons.
GCCGGUUGCUCAGGGGACCAGGGAACCUUGUGGGAGGGGCCUCGCUCCUCAGCUCAUGCAUAAAAGGAAAUUAAGACCAGACCCAAAUUUCUGGAAUUUUACAUAGAUUCUCAGAUCUGGGCUGAUGGCAAAAUAUCUUUAGCCAACGAUGAAAGACAUGUCAUGAUCGUCUGGAAAACCCUGGGAGUCUUCUGGUCAGAAACCUUGUCCUGGAAAGGAAGAUUUGCACCCCGCUCGUCCCCCCGCCCCCCAAGCUCUGACAGUCGGUUUCUCAGCAGGCCCUUUGGUCACAUAAGUGUAAUAAAUUAGCUCAGCAAACCGACUAUCACCCCCGGAGAGUCCCCGAGCGGCUUCGACUACGCCCGGCAUGACCCCCCAGCAGCAGGAUUGACACGGACACCACGACUAGGUUUAGGAAAAUAAAUGAACGUGGAGGACACACGUUUACCACUCCUGGAUGCCACGGAGAUAAGAAUAUAAUCUCGGGAAAGACGGAAGGAGGCCACUUGGGCCCGGGGAGUGGAAACGUCCACAUCUCUACAUAGAGAUCCUCACUGGUAACAACAUCCUCCUCUCUACUAGCUGUUGGGCCAGGAAACGUGGAAAGGGUAGGUCAGGUGAGCCUGCGCAGGUCCAGCCUGAUGCCCGCGUCACUGGUUCUCCUCCACUCAAAACAUGGGGCACGUUAUCUUUUUAGUAAUGGGCCAGGCCUGCUUCCCCACGCGGGGUGCGUCGUGUGGGAUAACGAGGAGCUCGUAAGUUCAGUGGAAAAGCUGUGACUAUCGUGCUCCCGUGACCACAUCCGAGCCAGCGCACCGGCCAUGCACCUGCUCUAUUGUACAAUUGCUGUUUCUGGAGAUAGCAAGCGUUACAAGCCCCAGGACCUUUGCAUGCACAGCUUCCUAAAAGCACAACUCUCGUCCUCACUCCAGUGUGCUCCAGCCUCACCGGUUUAUUGUUCGCUGAAUCAGUGCCCCCCAGCCCCCCGACUCAGACCAAGAGCCCUCCACCAGGAAGAAUCCCAGGCCUUAGGACCUCGCUGCUGCACCGUCAGUUACCUGAAAGUUCACACCCCUGCGGAAGCUACAACUGUGGGAUAGCGUGUGGGCUUCCACAGACUGGCUCAGCCCACGGACCCAGGCAUCCUUUUUCUCCGUGUCUGGUUCCCAUAGUGAAGCAGUAUAUCCACUCGCUUUUGCUUGUUUUGCAUCAAAUCCACAUAAAUGGCUCAGUGUAAUAAACGACGACAACAACUCUGGAAUAAUCAUUAAAAUAUACUGGAAAAGCCUUCCGGCGGCAAUAUUCCAAUACACAUGAGUAGGGAUGACUUUUAAUGCUCUUCUCUAUUUUAAGUUUUCAGAUUUCUCCCUUGGAAUCACAUCUUCCUGAUACUGUUUAAAAAAAAAAAAAAACACACACAAAUGAUACAAACCAUUUCAAACACAUCUUAUGAAA